UUCAAAUUCAAUGAUAAUUGUUUGUGGUUUCAAUAAAAAAAAAUAUAUUGAUCAACCGUUACAACAUUAAAAUAUUUGUUGAGAAACGAAUCAAACACGCCACAAACUUAGCAUAAACCCCGCGAACCUGUAUCAUACUACUAGACAAACACAAACCAGAACCCCUUCUUCAUUUUAUUUUUUUCGUUAAAUUUCAUGUCAUCACCUUUCUCGGUUCUUUCUUGAACAUGAUCAACAGAGACGGUCUUGGAUCGCUCAGCAACGGAAACAGGAUUAGUUUGAAGAAGAAGAUAUUCAAGCUCGCCCAUAUCGCCAUUGCAGCCUAUGUUCUUGCAGCCAUAUCCGAAAGGAGUAGCAGGUCCAGCUCUUUGCUUUUCUUUUGCGGGUUUUGCAAAGAAAUCAGAACCUUCUUCUUCUAAUCUCGCCACUACUUCCUUAUUAACACCGUGAUUAACAACCUUGAAGAACCCGUAAUCCUCACAGGCUCUUACAAUCAAUUCAGAUACAAUUGACCUGUUAAGAGAAAGAUCGACGUUUUGAACUUUGAAGAUUUGGAGAUAUGUUCAUGGCUGAGGGUGGUACCUAUUAUAUACACAGACAAGAGAGAGGAGGAUAGAGGGAGAAGGAAAGAUAUAUGAAUAUUAUAACGCUAGGUAGGGGUC
Ricinus communis (castor bean) is the source of this 662-nucleotide long non-coding RNA. RefSeq lists it as uncharacterized. The record is from RefSeq and is a predicted model, not a curated record. The transcript is spliced from 3 exons. NCBI's taxonomy places the organism in Eukaryota, Viridiplantae, Streptophyta, Magnoliopsida, Malpighiales, Euphorbiaceae.